Long non-coding RNA from Notothenia coriiceps (black rockcod), 380 nucleotides. RefSeq lists it as uncharacterized. The transcript has 3 exons. The record is from RefSeq and is a predicted model, not a curated record. NCBI's taxonomy places the organism in Eukaryota, Metazoa, Chordata, Actinopteri, Perciformes, Nototheniidae.
UCUGCUCAAAGUAUCUGUUGUACCCUACACUAGUCUAAUGUUCGAUUCAAAUAGAUGUUGUCAUUAUUUUACUAAGUAUUUCAAUGUGAUGAAAUUGUGCUGAUUCAUAAUCUGAGUUCCUGAGAAUGUAUUUGACGUAUUUCUUCCUGUCUUGGUAGUUUCCUCCGAUUUUACAGCAGAAGAGAAGAUGGAGAUCGAGAGCAUUAAGACGUAUAAGGAAGACCUUCUGGAUGAUAUUCAGAAGUUAAAGAUGGAGAUAGACAAGAUCAUGGCAGGUAUACUCAGCUUCGAGUCUGGAGAUGAAAACAAGACCAUGGAGAAGGGCAAACAGUUCUCAAACGGAAAGAAAAAAUUCAACAUGGACCCCAAAAAGGUGAAUU